AGUACUGCGAGUGAAGCGGGAAAAGCUCAAAUUUAAAAUCUGGUGGUCUUUGGCCAUCCGANUUGUAAUUUAGAGAAGCGAUUUCCGCGCUGGACCGUGCACAAGUCUCCUGGAAUGGAGCGUCAUAGAGGGUGAGAAUCCCGUCUUUGGCACGGAUGCACCAGGGCUUUUGUGAUGCGCUCUCGAAGAGUCGAGUUGUUUGGGAAUGCAGCUCAAAAUGGGUGGUGAACUCCAUCUAAAGCUAAAUAUUGGCGAGAGACCGAUAGCGAACAAGUACCGUGAGGGAAAGAUGAAAAGCACUUUGGAAAGAGAGUGAAACAGUACGUGAAAUUGUUGAAAGGGAAACGCUUGAAGUCAGUCGCGUUGACCGAGACUCAGCCUUGCCUCGGCUUGGUGUACUUCUCGGCUGACGGGUCAGCAUCAAUUUUGCCCCUUGGAUAAUGGCGAGGGAAAUGUGACACCUUUACGGUGUGUUAUAGUCUCUCGUCGCAUGCAAGGGUUGGGAUUGAGGAACUCAGCACGCGCCUUUGGGUGUCGGGGCUUUGCCUACGAUACGUGCUUAGGAUGUUGGCGUAAUGGCUUUAAACGACCCGUCUUGAAACACGGACCAAGGAGUCUAACAUACCUGCGAGUGUUCGGGUGGAAAACCCGUGCGCGCAAUGAAAGUGAAAGUUGGGACCUCUGUCGUGGAGGGCACCGACGCCCGGACCAGACCUUCUGUGACGGCUCUGCGGUAGAGCAUGUAUGUUAGGACCCGAAAGAUGGUGAACUAUGCCUGAAUAGGGUGAAGCCAGAGGAAACUCUGGUGGAGGCUCGUAGCGAUUCUGACGUGCAAAUCGAUCGUCAAAUUUGGGUAUAGGGGCGAAAGACUAAUCGAACCAUCUAGUAGCUGGUUCCUGCCGA
RNAcentral lists this ribosomal RNA (903 nucleotides) under Russula paludosa. Its description in RNAcentral is "LSU rRNA". It matches the Rfam family "Eukaryotic large subunit ribosomal RNA", at positions 82 to 964 of the family's 3401-position model. Lineage: Eukaryota; Fungi; Basidiomycota; Agaricomycetes; Russulales; Russulaceae. The record is from RNAcentral.